RNAcentral lists this ribosomal RNA (411 nucleotides) under uncultured bacterium. Its description in RNAcentral is "bacterial SSU rRNA". It matches the Rfam family "Bacterial small subunit ribosomal RNA", at positions 505 to 917 of the family's 1533-position model. The record is from RNAcentral.
GUGCCAGCAGCGCGGUAAUACGGGGGAUGCGAGCGUUAUCCGGAUUUAUUGGGUUUAAAGGGCGCGUAGGCGGGACGUCAAGUCAGCGGUAAAAGACUGCAGCUAAACUGUAGCACGCCGUUGAAACUGGCGCCCUCGAGACGAGACGAGGGAGGCGGAACAAGUGAAGUAGCGGUGAAAUGCAUAGAUAUCACUUGGAACCCCGAUAGCGAAGGCAGCUUCCCAGGCUCGAUCUGACGCUGAUGCGCGAGAGCGUGGGUAGCGAACAGGAUUAGAUACCCUGGUAGUCCACGCCGUAAACGAUGCUCACUGGAUCUUGGCGAUACACGGCCAGGGGUUCAAGCGAAAAAGUAUUAAGUGAGCCACCUGGGGAGUACGUCGGCAACGAUGAAACUCAAAUGAAUUGACGGG